AUCCAGCUGACCAGUGCCAAACAGGACGAAGCAUGCGUCUUAGAU
This 45-nucleotide non-coding RNA is filed under the name Schistosoma haematobium. The record is from RNAcentral. Lineage: Eukaryota; Metazoa; Platyhelminthes; Trematoda; Strigeidida; Schistosomatidae.